Molecule: ribosomal RNA, 472 nt
Filed under: uncultured bacterium
Lineage: Bacteria
Description: bacterial SSU rRNA
Rfam family: Bacterial small subunit ribosomal RNA
Source: RNAcentral
UGGGGAAUAUUGCGCAAUGGGCGAAAGCCUGACGCAGCAACGCCGCGUGAGUGAUGAAGGCCUUCGGGUCGUAAAGCUCUGUCGGAGGGAACGAAUGCUCUUGAGGUUAACAGCCUCGGGAGGUGACGGUACCCUCAAAGGAAGCACCGGCUAACUCUGUGCCAGCAGCCGCGGUAACACGUAGGGUGCGAGCGUUAAUCGGAAUUACUGGGCGUAAAGGGUGCGCAGGCGGCCCCGCAUGUCAGGCGCGAAAUCCCCGAGCUCAACUUGGGAAUGGCGCUUGAAACUACGGGGCUGGAGUGUGGCAGAGGGAGGUGGAAUUCCACGUGUAGCGGUGAAAUGCGUAGAGAUGUGGAGGAACACCGAUGGCGAAGGCAGCCUCCUGGGCCAACACUGACGCUCAUGCACGAAAGCGUGGGGAGCAAACAGGAUUAGAUACCCCCGUAGUCCUGAGCGGGCUGGCAAGGCGCAU